Molecule: long non-coding RNA, 2740 nt
Organism: Poecile atricapillus (Black-capped chickadee)
Lineage: Eukaryota; Metazoa; Chordata; Aves; Passeriformes; Paridae
Exons: 3
Source: RefSeq, a predicted model, not a curated record
CCCGCCUCCCGCCGCGCCCCCUGGCGGGCCAUGGCGCCGCCACAGCGCGGGAGCCUGAGGGGACCGGACGGGGUCGGGGCGGCCCUGGCUGCCUUCGCUGCUGCUGCGGUUUCGCGGUCCUGUGUAAAUACCUCAAGCGAGGGAGUCAGAACAUGGACCAGGCUCUGCUCGGUGGUGCCGAGCAAUAGGACUCAAGGCAACAGGCAGAAACUGAUGCACGGAAAGUUCCACACGAUCUAAGAACUUCACUGUGCAGUGAGCGAGCACUGGAACGGGCUGCCCAGGACGUGUAUAAAAACAUCGGUUUUCUUCCCUUGACACCGCAGUGUCUCACGGCUGCCUCUCCUGGAGCUAGUGACAGGUGCGGCUGCGAAGAAAUGCCAACAAAUCCCAACUCUCCAUCCCAGCUCUUUAGAGAAAGGCCUAGAGACCACGCUUACAAGCCUGGAGCUGCCACCCAGCUGGGAGGUGCUGCAAGGAGAAGCAAGAGUAGAGUUUGAAAUCAUUGCAACAGGGGGAUAAUGACUCUACAAACAUGAGAACAGUCCUGCACUUAGCAAGAAAUCAACUGCACAGAGUAAUUGCAGUAAUAAACUUGCAGAAAAGAAACCAGUAGGCAGAGUGGAUCGCAAGCAGAACACAUCAAGUUCAUGAGGUUGGAAAAGGCAUCCACUCUGCUGAGAUGCAUAAUCAGAAGAGUUGCCACCAAGGUAACUUUGUGAAGUUGUGAAAAGAUAGGGUGCGAGCUAGAAGGGUACAACAACAAAAAGUCGUGUGUUUCAGAACUGAUUAAAAGAAAAUAAAAUAUCUGUGCUUUUAAUAAAAAAACAACCCAAAAGAGAGACUGAACAAAAAUAUGGAAACAGUCUUAAUUUGUGUAAAGGACUGCUGCAAAAAGAAAGGGAACGUUGUCCAUAUUCAAUUUGAAUGUAUCAGCUAAACUGCAGCAGAAGGUAUUUAAUCCAGACAUUCAAAAAAGAGAGUUAAGGACUAGACUAGACUGCCUGAGGAAUGAGUGGAAUCUGUGUUUAUGGCUUUAAGAACAGGUUAUGCAAACAUCCUUUGAGGUUGUUUUCAUAAUAGUUUAUUGUGCCUUGAGGCAGGAGGAUGACUGAGAAUCCAGGUAAGGUCACUUUUGGCUCUCUUGGUUGCUUUUUAUUUGGGGAGGGGAAAUGUAUAGUGUAAAGCUUUAACAUCUACAUGACCUCAAACAACAAGCACUGAGGUUUAGGUGUUUCAAGAAAUCCCUAACAAACAGUGCAAGUGCUGUCUUUGUUAUUCCUCUCAUCUUCUUUCCAGAAAUGAGACACACUAAACUCACCCUCACUAAUACAGGAACCCACACAGUGGGUUUUGGGUGUAUUUGCACAGUUUACAACACUAAACCUGACAGCCCUGAUUAAAAUUUUGCUGCACUGCUGAAUUCAAGGUUAUGUGAAAAUAAAACAGGUCUUUUUCCAUACACUCACAAAAAUGUUUCUGUAGUCUAAAGUUCAGCUAGUGCUUAUCUAUUAACCUCAAAGUCAAUCCUGUUAUAUUUGAUGUUAAUAAAAAUGUAACAAAAGACAGUGUAAUCAAAAAUAUAUAUUCUUAUUUAAGAUUGUUCUUUUUAUAAAAAUCUUGGUAUCAACUGCAACAGAAGCAUAACAUAGCUAAGCCAUGCAUGCAAUUACCAGUCCAAAGUGUGCUAUAAGACUUCUGUGUAUGUCUGCCUUCUAAACACAUAAAUUUUACCUUAUGUCAACUGAUAACUACUUAAAGUAUUACUUCAAGUAAUUUUGAAAUGCACUUCCAAAUGCACUUUGAAAAGAAGAGAAUGGUGUAACAAAUCUUUUAGGAUUCAGAACUUAAUUUGCACAAAAGGUUGUUUAACAAAGAUUUAUUGAAUAAAACAAGCAUUCAAUUUUUUCAUUUUUAGCUAUAUGUAAUUUCUGAAUGAAGAGACAGGAGGACUGUUGUAGCUUCAAUUUAUAGGUACUUAAGUUCUGCCUCAUUUGAAGAUUUAGUAGGAGCUUAACAUAUGUUGACAAAAUAAUUUCAGGCGUUCCCUACAGAAAAUGAAUGGAACUAAGAAGUGACGUCUUCCAUUACCUGGUAAAAGUACAGCCUAAUAAAUAAAAAGAAGAGGUUAUUUUGGUAAAAUUCAAAACAUUAGUAUUAUUAAUUGCAUAUAUAUAUUUUAUACAUAUAUAUAUACAUAUAUACCUAUCUACAUAUACAUCAUUAUUGUUAUAUUAGUAUUGUACUUCUAAAAUACUUCCAAUAACAAACAGAUACACAAACAAAUCAGUUGGUCAUUUCUUAAACUCUGACAAGUCAGUGGCCAGAACACGCAAGAAUCACAGACGUAGUUAGGUUGGAAAAGACCUCUGAGAUCAUCGGGUCUGAUGGCUGAAAACAAUGUCAGCUGGACUGCGGCACCAAAUGCCACGUCCAGUCUCCUUAAACUCAAGGACACUGAUUUCACCACCUCCCUGGGCAACCCGUUCUAAUAUCUAAUCACCUUUUCUAUGAAAAAAAAAAUUCUUCCUAAUGUCAAACCAAAACUUCCCCUGGUGCAGGUUGAGGCCACGUCCUCCCGUCCUGUCUCUGUUCCCUGGGAGAAGAGACCGACCCCCACCCGCCCACACCCUCCUGUCAGGGAGUUGUAGAGUGAUAAGGUCACCCCUGAGCCUCCUCUUCUCCAGGCUGAGCUCCCCGGCUCCCUCAGCCGCUCCUCACAGGACAGGCGCUCCAGACC